Molecule: ribosomal RNA, 538 nt
Filed under: uncultured archaeon
Lineage: Archaea
Description: bacterial SSU rRNA
Rfam family: Archaeal small subunit ribosomal RNA
Source: RNAcentral
AGGCGCGAAACCUCUGCAAUAGGCGAAAGCUUGACAGGGUUACUCUGAGUGACGUCCGUUAAGGACGUCUUUUGGCACCUCUAAAAAUGGUGCAGAAUAAGGGGUGGGCAAGUCUGGUGUCAGCCGCCGCGGUAAUACCAGCACCCCGAGUGGUCGGGACGAUUAUUGGGCCUAAAGCAUCCGUAGCCGGUUCUGCAAGUCUUCCGUUAAAUCCACCUGCUCAACAGAUGGGCCGCGGAGGAUACUACAGGGCUAGGAGGCGGGAGAGGCAAGCGGUACUCAGUGGGUAGGGGUAAAAUCCUCUGAUCCACUGAAGACCACCAGUGGCGAAGGCGGCUUGCCAGAACGCGCUCGACGGUGAGGGAUGAAAGCUGGGGGAGCAAACCGGAUUAGAUACCCGGGUAGUCCCAGCUGUAAACGAUGCAGACUCGGUGAUGGGUUGGCUUCGAGCCAACCCAGUGCCGCAGGGAAGCCGUUAAGUCUGCCGCCUGGGGAGUACGGUCGCAAGACGGAAACUUAAAGGAAUUGGCGGGGGAGC